Molecule: non-coding RNA, 29 nt
Filed under: Mus musculus (house mouse)
Lineage: Eukaryota; Metazoa; Chordata; Mammalia; Rodentia; Muridae
Also listed under: 1 other name
Source: RNAcentral
UAGGAAACCAGGAAGAGUGUGCUGGGAGC